Molecule: ribosomal RNA, 466 nt
Filed under: uncultured bacterium
Lineage: Bacteria
Description: partial 16S ribosomal RNA
Rfam family: Bacterial small subunit ribosomal RNA
Source: RNAcentral
GAUGAACGCUGGCGGCGUGCUUAACACAUGCAGGUCGAACGGAAAGGCUCCUGCUUGCAGGGGUACUCGAGUGGCGAACGGGUGAGUAACACGUGGGUGAUCUGCCCAGCACUUCGGGAUAAGCCUGGGAAACUGGGUCUAAUACCGGAUAGGACGAUGGUUUGGAUGCCAUUGUGGAAAGUUUUUUCGGUGUGGGAUGAGCUCGCGGCCUAUCAGCUUGUUGGUGGGGUAAUGGCCUACCAAGGCGUCGACGGGUAGCCGGCCUGAGAGGGUGUACGGCCACAUUGGGACUGAGAUACGGCCCAGACUCCUACGGGAGGCAGCAGUGGGGAAUAUUGCACAAUGGGCGCAAGCCUGAUGCAGCGACGCCGCGUGGGGGAUGACGGCCUUCGGGUUGUAAACUCCUUUCGCUAGGGACGAAGCGCAAGUGACGGUACCUGGAGAAGAAGCACCGGCUAACUACGUG